This is a non-coding RNA of Nelumbo nucifera (sacred lotus), 1005 nucleotides long. The record is from RefSeq and is a predicted model, not a curated record. NCBI's taxonomy places the organism in Eukaryota, Viridiplantae, Streptophyta, Magnoliopsida, Proteales, Nelumbonaceae.
AAAAUUAGUUUUGGACUAAUACCAUCUAUGGAGGUGAAGCUUCCCUCGUUUGCAUUUGUCCAGAAAGGUGCCAUGAUCUGAAUUCCAGAAGUGUUGAAGAGUAGAAGAAUAGUCACUGAAGGAGGUCCAAAUCGCUUCAAAUCUAUGGAUGGGUCUGUAUUUUUUGGUGAAGCCUGUCAGACUGCAAAGAAUUGGGUUGUGAUCAGUGAUCACUAUCAAGACCCCCUGAGAGACCCACGACUUCAAUGCAGAAGUAAUUAUUCCACUCCAGAAAGGAUAAUCAAGGCUGCUGUAGUUAUCCAGGUGGCAUAGCUCUGAAUUACUUGAACAUAAUUUAACAAAAAACUUGCUAUUAUAUGCUUUAAAGCAAACAUUAACACUCCAUUGCAAAAGUGGGUAUUAUGGCUUUUAAAUUUGAGUUGUGGAUGAAUUGUUGUUAGUGGUGAUUAUCAUGAACUGUUGGUUGCUUGUAGGCUUACUGGUGUUGCCACAGAAAUCAUUCAUACUACACGAGUCUUCAGAAGGCAGCACUCAUUUCUCAAUGUGGUUGCUAGGAGAGAGCUCAGGAAGCUCAGAAUGGCUGCAAGAGAAACAGGGGCCCUAAAAGAAGCGAAAGACAAACUAGAAAAGCAAGUGGAGGAACUUACACGGCGCUUGCAGUUUGAGAAACGAUCAAGGGCUGAUCUGGAGGAGGCAAAAGCCCUUGAAAUUUCCAAGCUAUAGGAUGCUUUUAAUGCCAUGCAAAUAUGAGAAGAGGCAAAUGCCAAGGUUAACAAAGAACAAUAGGCAGCUCGGAAAGCUAUUGAAGAAGCACCUCCAGUCAUUAAGGAGACACCAGUAAUAAUUCAAGAUACAGAGAAGGUUAAUGCAUUAACUGCUGAAGUUGAAAAGCUGAAGGUAGAGCUCUAAGCUUGAAUUAGUUAUGCUAUCUUAUGGUCUUACUGUUACACAACCUAUGUACCAUUUUUUUGCCAUCUUGGUACUACAGGAUAUUGUAAAAAACUA